GCUGGCGGCGUGCCUAAUACAUGCAAGUAGAACGCUGAAGAGAGGAGCUUGCUCUUCUUGGAUGAGUUGCGAACGGGUGAGUAACGCGUAGGUAACCUGCCUUGUAGCGGGGGAUAACUAUUGGAAACGAUAGCUAAUACCGCAUAACAAUGGAUGACACAUGUCAUUUAUUUGAAAGGGGCAAUUGCUCCACUACAAGAUGGACCUGCGUUGUAUUAGCUAGUAGGUGAGGUAAUGGCUCACCUAGGCGACGAUACAUAGCCGACCUGAGAGGGUGAUCGGCCACACUGGGACUGAGACACGGCCCAGACUCCUACGGGAGGCAGCAGUAGGGAAUCUUCGGCAAUGGGGGCAACCCUGACCGAGCAACGCCGCGUGAGUGAAGAAGGUUUUCGGAUCGUAAAGCUCUGUUGUAAGUCAAGAACGGGUGUGAGAGUGGAAAGUUCACACUGUGACGGUAGCUUACCAGAAAGGGACGGCUAACUACGUGCCAGCAGCCGCGGUAAUACGUAGGUCCCGAGCGUUGUCCGGAUUUAUUGGGCGUAAAGCGAGCGCAGGCGGUUUGAUAAGUCUGAAGUUAAAGGCUGUGGCUCAACCAUAGUUCGCUUUGGAAACUGUCAAACUUGAGUGCAGAAGGGGAGAGUGGAAUUCCAUGUGUAGCGGUGAAAUGCGUAGAUAUAUGGAGGAACACCGGUGGCGAAAGCGGCUCUCUGGUCUGUAACUGACGCUGAGGCUCGAAAGCGUGGGGAGCGAACAGGAUUAGAUACCCUGGUAGUCCACGCCGUAAACGAUGAGUGCUAGGUGUUGGAUCCUUUCCGGGAUUCAGUGCCGCAGCUAACGCAUUAAGCACUCCGCCUGGGGAGUACGACCGCAAGGUUGAAACUCAAAGGAAUUGACGGGGGCCCGCACAAGCGGUGGAGCAUGUGGUUUAAUUCGAAGCAACGCGAAGAACCUUACCAGGUCUUGACAUCCCGAUGCUAUUUCUAGAGAUAGAAAGUUACUUCGGUACAUCGGUGACAGGUGGUGCAUGGUUGUCGUCAGCUCGUGUCGUGAGAUGUUGGGUUAAGUCCCGCAACGAGCGCAACCCCUAUUGUUAGUUGCCAUCAUUCAGUUGGGCACUCUAGCGAGACUGCCGGUAAUAAACCGGAGGAAGGUGGGGAUGACGUCAAAUCAUCAUGCCCCUUAUGACCUGGGCUACACACGUGCUACAAUGGUUGGUACAACGAGUUGCGAGUCGGUGACGGCGAGCUAAUCUCUUAAAGCCAAUCUCAGUUCGGAUUGUAGGCUGCAACUCGCCUACAUGAAGUCGGAAUCGCUAGUAAUCGCGGAUCAGCACGCCGCGGUGAAUACGUUCCCGGGCCUUGUACACACCGCCCGUCACACCACGAGAGUUUGUAACACCCGAAGUCGGUGAGGUAACCUUUUGGAGCCAGCCGCCUAAGGUGGGACAGAUGAUUGGGGUGAAG
This 1466-nucleotide ribosomal RNA is filed under the name Streptococcus thermophilus. Its description in RNAcentral is "bacterial SSU rRNA". It matches the Rfam family "Bacterial small subunit ribosomal RNA". Lineage: Bacteria; Bacillati; Bacillota; Bacilli; Lactobacillales; Streptococcaceae. The record is from RNAcentral.